UUGCCCUAGUAACGGCGAGUGAAGCGGCAACAGCUCAGAUUUGAAAUCUGGCGUCUUUGGCGUCCGAGUUGUAAUCUGUAGAGGAUGCUUUUGGGUAGCCACCGGUCUAAGUCCCCUGGAACGGGGCGUCACAGAGGGUGAGAAUCCCGUAUGUGACCGGAAGGGCGCCCUCUACAUAGCUCCUUCGACGAGUCGAGUUGUUUGGGAAUGCAGCUCUAAAUGGGAGGUAAAUUCCUUCUAAAGCUAAAUACCGGCCAGAGACCGAUAGCGCACAAGUAGAGUGAUCGAAAGAUGAAAAGCACUUUGGAAAGAGAGUUAAAAAGCACGUGAAAUUGUUGAAAGGGAAGCGCUUGCAACCAGACUUGUUGGCGGUGUUCCGCCGGUCUUCUGACCGGUUUACUCACCGUCUGCAGGCCAGCAUCAUCUGGGGCCGCUGGAUAAAAGCGAGGGGAAUGUGGCUCCCCCGGGAGUGUUAUAGCCCCUCGUGCAAUACAGCGAGCCUCGGGUGAGGUCCGCGCUUCGGCUAGGAUGCUGGCGUAAUGGUCGUAAGCGGCCCGUCUUGAAACACGGACCAAGGAGUCUAACAUCUAUGCGAGUGUUCGGGUGUCAAACCCCUACGCGUAAUGAAAGUGAACGGAGGUGGGAGCCUUAGGGUGCACCAUCGACCGAUCCUGAUGUCUUCGGAUGGAUUUGAGUAAGAGCAUAGCUGUUGGGACCCGAAAGAUGGUGAACUAUGCCUGGAUAGGGUGAAGCCAGAGGAAACUCUGGUGGAGGCUCGCAGCGGUUCUGACGUGCAAAUCGAUCGUCAAAUUUGGGUAUAGGGGCGAAAGACUAAU
This 836-nucleotide ribosomal RNA is filed under the name Conidiocarpus sp. Its description in RNAcentral is "partial large subunit ribosomal RNA". It matches the Rfam family "Eukaryotic large subunit ribosomal RNA", at positions 75 to 935 of the family's 3401-position model. Lineage: Eukaryota; Fungi; Ascomycota; Dothideomycetes; Capnodiales; Capnodiaceae. The record is from RNAcentral.